UACGAAGGGGGCUAGCGUUGCUCGGAAUUACUGGGCGUAAAGCGCACGUAGGCGGUCUUUUAAGUCGGGGUGAAAUCCUGGAGCUCAACUCCAGAACUGCCUCGAUACUGGAAGACUCGAGUCCGGGAGAGGUGAGUGGAACUGGCGAGUGUAGAGGUGAAAUUCGUAAGAUAUUCGCAAGAACACCAAGUGGCGAAGGCGGCCCACUGGCCCGGUACUGACGCUGAGGCGCGAAAGCG
This 239-nucleotide ribosomal RNA is filed under the name uncultured bacterium. Its description in RNAcentral is "partial 16S ribosomal RNA". It matches the Rfam family "Bacterial small subunit ribosomal RNA", at positions 524 to 761 of the family's 1533-position model. The record is from RNAcentral.